RNAcentral lists this ribosomal RNA (499 nucleotides) under uncultured bacterium. RNAcentral's name for it is "bacterial SSU rRNA". It matches the Rfam family "Bacterial small subunit ribosomal RNA", at positions 28 to 573 of the family's 1533-position model. The record is from RNAcentral.
AACGAACGCUGGCGGCAUGCCUAACACAUGCAAGUCGAACGAGCCCUUCGGGGCUAGUGGCGCACGGGUGCGUAACGCGUGGGAAUCUGCCCAAAGGUUCGGAAUAACUCGGGGAAACCCGUGCUAAUACCGGAUAAUGUCUUCGGACCAAAGAUUUAUCGCCUUUGGAUGAGCCCGCGUCGGAUUAGCUUGUUGGUGAGGUAAAAGCUCACCAAGGCGACGAUCCGUAGCUGGUCUGAGAGGAUGAUCAGCCACACUGGGACUGAGACACGGCCCAGACUCCUACGGGAGGCAGCAGUGGGGAAUAUUGGACAAUGGGCGAAAGCCUGAUCCAGCAAUGCCGCGUGAGUGAUGAAGGCCUUAGGGUUGUAGAGCUCUUUUGCCCGGGAUGAUAAUGACAGUACCGGGAGAAUAAGCUCCGGCUAACUCCGUGUCAGCAGCCGCGGUAAUACGGAGGGAGCUAGCGUUGUUCGGAAUUACUGGGCGUAAAGCGCGCGGU